UUUUGAUGGAUAUGGGUAUCAUGGGACAUCGUUUGAGCAGACAUACCGAUGUUUCCCCGCAUCCUUUAUUGAGAAGCCGCAAAUCGAAAGCGGUGAUAAAAUUAUAAUGCCCCCUUCAGCUCUGGACCGCCUAGCAUCUUUACAUAUUGAUUAUCCAAUGUUGUUUGAACUUCGGAAUGAUGUUGCUGAGCGGAUUUCUCAUUGUGGGGUUCUUGAGUUCAUUGCAGAAGAAGGCAUGAUCUAUAUGCCUU
Juglans regia (Persian walnut) is the source of this 251-nucleotide long non-coding RNA. RefSeq lists it as uncharacterized. Lineage: Eukaryota; Viridiplantae; Streptophyta; Magnoliopsida; Fagales; Juglandaceae. The transcript is spliced from 4 exons. The record is from RefSeq and is a predicted model, not a curated record.